GUGCACCAGUCGAGAAUCCUCCGCAAUGCGGGAAACCGUGACGGGGUCACCCCGAGUGCCACCCGAUGAGGGUGGCUUUUCCCCGGUCUAAAAAGCCGGGGGCAAUAAGCGGGGGCAAGUCUGGUGUCAGCCGCCGCGGUAAUACCAGCCCCGCGAGUGGUCGGGACGUUUAUUGGGCCUAAAGCGUCCGUAGCCGGCUCGGUAAGUCCCUCCUUAAAUCCACGGGCUCAACCCGUGGGCUGGGAGGGAUACUGCCGGGCUAGGGGGCGGGAGAGGCCGAGGGUACUCCCGGGGUAGGGGCGAAAUCCGUUAAUCCCGGGAGGACCACCAGUGGCGAAGGCGCUCGGCUGGAACGCGCCCGACGGUGAGGGACGAAAGCUAGGGGAGCAAAAGGGGAUUAGAUACCCGUGUAGU
Molecule: ribosomal RNA, 414 nt
Filed under: uncultured microorganism
Description: bacterial SSU rRNA
Rfam family: Archaeal small subunit ribosomal RNA
Source: RNAcentral